GAUGAACGCUCGCUACAGGCUUAACACAUGCAAGUCGCGGGGCAGCAUGGGGGUUGCUUGCCACUCCCGAUGGCGACCGGCGCACGGGUGAGUAACGCGUAUCCAACCUGCCCUUCACCACGGGAUAACCCGGCGAAAGUCGGACUAAUACCGUAUGUUUUCCAUUGACGGCAUCCGAUUUGGACGAAAGGCUUUGCGGUGAAGGAUGGGGAUGCGUCCGAUUAGCCAGACGGCGGGGUAACGGCCCACCGUGGCUACGAUCGGUAGGGGUUCUGAGAGGAAGGUCCCCCACACUGGAACUGAGACACGGUCCAGACUCCUACGGGAGGAAGCAGUGAGGAAUAUUGGUCAAUGGGCGUAAGCCUGAACCAGCCAAGUAGCGUGCAGGAUGACGGCCCUAUGGGUUGUAAACUGCUUUUAUGCGGGGAUAAAGUGGCCCACGUGUGGGCUUUUGCAGGUACCGCAUGAAUAAGGACCGGCUAAUUCCGUG
This 490-nucleotide ribosomal RNA is filed under the name uncultured bacterium. RNAcentral describes it as "partial 16S ribosomal RNA". It matches the Rfam family "Bacterial small subunit ribosomal RNA", at positions 28 to 507 of the family's 1533-position model. The record is from RNAcentral.